AAAGUCCUGAUGUGUUCGUUCUACACCUAGUUUUGACCUAACAUUAAUUCUACGGGAGCUCAUGUUUCUUUACAGAGUAAAUGCCUUAUCUACGGUAAAGAGGACUUACAUACGUAAAGAACAGAGCACCCACCUGCUGAGUGCGGGAUCAAAACGAGGGAAUCGUAUGACGGCACAAUCGGGACUACA
This 189-nucleotide non-coding RNA is filed under the name Metabacillus harenarius. Its description in RNAcentral is "Bacillus weihaiensis 6S / SsrS RNA". It matches the Rfam family "6S / SsrS RNA". From Rfam's summary of the family: E. coli 6S RNA was the first non coding RNA to be sequenced, but its function was unknown until recently. It consists of 184 nucleotides that fold into an extended hairpin structure with a large single-stranded internal bulge. Lineage: Bacteria; Bacillati; Bacillota; Bacilli; Caryophanales; Bacillaceae. The record is from Rfam by way of RNAcentral.